CUUUUUUUCUUCUUGGCAGGUGUCCUUGUAGACUUGGGUCUGGAGGAAAAUGGGACAGCUCAUCAGAGAGCAGAGAAAUACGUGGUUCGUCUGGACAAUGAGAUUCAAAGCAAGUUUGAAGUGUUUAUGAGGAGGGUGAAACAGAACCCAUACACACUAUUUGUGCUAGUUCAUGACAACUCCCACGUGGAACUAACGAGGUGAUUGCUUUCGUGUGAGCAAACACAGUAUUUCUUCUAUAGCAGUCAUUGUUACACCAGGAAAUCUUUUAAAGGUGACAGUGUGAAGCCCCAGGGAUCCUAACAUUUAGUGUCUUCCUCCUGCUAACUUAUUCAUAAUCUUUUCUUGCUCCCUCAACUCUUCGUGUGAUUUAGUGUUGAUUUCAUUUUAAAUAUACUGUGAAGGAAUUUAGAAAUUUAUGUUAGAAGUACUGUCGUAAGAAUAUCAUGGGGGCUGGGGCUGGGGCUCAGUGGCAGAGCACUUGCCUAGCAUGUGUGAUGCACUGGGUUCGAUCCUCAGCACUACACAUAAAUAAAUAAAAUAAAGGUCCAUCCAUAACUUUAAAAAAAUUGUUUAAAAAAAGAAUCUUGGAACUCAGUUGCUUCAGAGAGGGCGGGGAGAAGGAGGUCAAGGAAAUAAGCUCCCAGGAGAGAGAUGAGCUUCCUUCUCUAGCUCUUCCCUAAGCUCUUACCCUUUUUCAUUUACUGCUCUUCCAGUGUUUCCUCCUCUUCCUUCUUUUUCUCUCUUCCCUCUUACCUUUAAAAGUAGUGUGGAAAUGCCACUUAAAUGUUCUGAGAGCAGAUCUGAAACCUUCCCAUUUCCCAAUUUAAGAGGAUAUCGUAUUUCUUGAUUGGACGUAUUAAUGAAAGAACAUUAUGUUUGGAAUGAUAGAAGCAGUUUUGCCCCCAGAUCAAAUUGUAAUUAUCUGGUGAGGUAUGCACUAAAAAGGCAAAUCAUUUUUUAAAAAGAGAGGGAAAAAAAGAAAUAAAAAAUAAAUAAAAAUUAAAAGAGAGGGACACACGUAAGGCACUGGGUUCGAUCCCCAGCACCACAUAAAAAAACUAAAUAAACAAAAUAAAGGUAUUGUGUCCAUCUACAACUACAAAUAUUAAAAUAUAUAUAUAUAUAUAUAUAUAUAUAUAUAUAUAUAUAGAGAGAGAGAGAGAGAGAGAGAGAGAGAGAGAGAGACAAAUAGUCAUCGAGUAUGACAUAUCAUGGUUUGCCCUCACCAUGGAAGGACAGGGUGGUUUCAGUCAUCAUUGAACAUUUUAUCAAUCUUCUUUUCUCCAGGAGAAACUGAGGUUAGGAAUCUGGAAGUUCUUUGGUUUAUGGUAAAAAAUGUCAGAAUUAAAAAAAAAAAAAAAAAUCUUGUUCAGAAGCCAGAAUGGGUUUGAUAGGCUGCAAUAUGAAGUCUAGAACCAUGUGUGUGUAUAAAUAAGACCUUACAUUAAUCUGUUAGAUUUAGGAGAAGGAAAAAAGGAAGAGAAGGAGAGGGGAAAGGAGGGAAAAGAAAUUUUACACACAUCUCUUUAGUCAUUGGUAAUGUUCUGUGAGGAGAAAUAGCUCACUAACCUCACACACCUUGUCUUUCAAAGUUUAGGGAAUAUUUUUGAGGACACAACAUUAGAUCUCUCUGUAUUUAACUCCCUGGGUCAUCAAGAUUAUUUCUUUAAUUUAAAAAGUAUGUUUUUUUGCCAGGUACAGUGGCACACACCUGUAAUCUUUAGCUACUCGGGAGGCUAAAGCAGGAGGAUUACAAGUUUGAGGCCAGCUUCUGCAAUUGGGUGAGACCCUGUCUCAAAAUAAAAAAAUAAAAAUAAAAAGGGCUGGAGAUGUAGCUCAGUGGUAAAGUGCAUUAGUCAUUUGGGGAUGUAGGGGACAUUGUGACCAAAAAAAAAAAAAAAACCCUGAGAAAAAAAUAACUAGGAGAAGGAAAGAUUUAUUUUAGCUCAUGGUUUCAGAGAUUUCAGUUGGUGGUUAGCUUGAGGUGAAGGCAGAGCAUCAUGGCAGGAGGGUAAGGCAGAAGAAAGCUGUUCAGCUUGUGGAAGCCAGGAAACAGAGAGAGCGGAAGAAAGGGGACAAGGAUAAGAUAUAAUCCCCAAGGACACACCUCCAGAGACCUGCUUUCUCAACCCAUGCCCCACCUGCCUCCAUUUCCACUACCUCCCAUAGUCCACUUAACUAUCAAUGGAUCAUUCCACUGAUGAUGUCAGAGCCCUCAUGAUCCAAUCACUUCCCAAAAGCUCCACCUCUGAACAUUGCCACAUUGGGGACCAAGCCUUCAAUAAGUGAAAUCUUUGGAGGACAGCACCCUUGGAUUCAAUCCCAGGUAACACAAAAUUUACAUAUACAUAUGCACGUAUCUGAGGAUGCAUGGGAACCUGGUAAAUACAAAUUGAACAGAACUGAAAGAGCUUCAGAGAUACGAGUCUUGGUCACAAGUUGUAAAAGGACAGUUCUCCCCAGAUGGCCUGCCAGUCUGGAAUCCAUGGCAGGAAUAGGAGUGAUUUUGAUACAGAGGAGCUCUGGCUGCAGGGCUCUAAGCAUUGUGUCCUGGUGAAGAGGCUCCCUCAUUCAGGUGAGCUUUCAAAGUCAAGUGCUCUGUCUCAACUACAGCUGUAGCCAUCCCUGGCCUGGAACACUUUGAGGUGUAUCAGGGGCAAACUGAAAAAAAAAAAUCACUAAAAUCUGUGUGCAAAGGGGUAAGAAGUGUAAAAUUUUCCUCUUUCAAAUCACAUUUCAAUUGAAUCUAUUCCCCCCAAUUUAAAAGAACUAGAAAAGUAAGAACUAAAACAUUAUUUCCAUGUUGGUGUCUGCUUCUGUAUUCAGUCAGUUGAAUUAAAAGGUAUUAAUGUGACUUUCCAUUUUUCUACAGCGUCAUUUCGGGCUCUCUAUCCCAUGGCGAACCCAGUCAUGGAUUGGCUGAUAGAGUCAUCAACUGCAGAGAAGUUCUGGAUGCUUUUAACCUCCUGGUGCUCCAGGUCAGCUCCUUCCCAUACACUCUGCAGACCCAGCAGUCCCGGAUCAGCUCCAGCAACGAGGUUCACUGGAUACAGCUGGAUACGGUGGUGAGUUUCCUAUAUACACUCAUAUUCUCACUUUCCCAGGGAGCAGAAACUUGGAACUGAAUGUGGUGAUGGUACAGCUCAAGAGUUCAAAAUAUAAAUAACAUAAUGUUUCAUCUUCUAAAAGUACCAUAUGAUCAUAAUUUUUUUCUUUUUUUUUUUUUUUUUUUGAGAUGAGGUCUCGCUAUGGUGUGCAGGGUGGUCUCAAACUCUUGAGCUCAAGUGAUUCUCCUGCCUCAGUCUUCUGAGUGCUGGGACUAUAGAUACUCAUUACUAUGUCCUGCUAACUACAAUGAUUAGAAAGACUAAAAACUAGUGAAUAGUGUCCUGUGGAAAUUUGAUUAGGCAGUUCUUUUUGGAUAACAUGCAGAUAGAAAAUUAGCAUCCUGUACAGUUUUUUAUGUGAUGCUAUCUGAGAACAUAAUCAAGACCAUGGAUCACCUUGGUGUCUUUAAAUUAUUAAUUUUAUUCUGAGACCUGGAAAUUUUAUUGUCCUCUUGGGUGGCCUCUUUGUCAAGUUCAAGUCUGGCUGAUCUAAUCACUGUUAAUCACUCUCAUGCCCUACAGCAACUGGUUUUUUUCUUUCAACCAAUUCUCAGAUUCUUGUUUACAACUGUGGAAGAUGGCACUGUACUUUAAGGAAUUCAGUAGAAGCAUUGAAUGUGUUGGAAGUAAUCGUAUAAAUAUCCAGGUCUUUAUAUUUUUUUAUUUCAAUCCCUAAUUCCUGAAAAAUAUUUUCUAUGACCUAUAGACUUAAACCAACUAUAUUAUCAAAGAAAUAAGAGUUGGAUAAAAUAAUAAAGAUAAGCCAUUUUGCCAUGAAUCCUCUGUAUAAAAACACUGAACAUUAGGCUGGAGUUGUAGCUCAGUGGUAGAGCACUCACCUAGCAUGGGUGAGGUACUGGGUUCAAUCCUCAGCACCACAUAAAAAUAAAUAAAUAAAAUAAAGGCAUUCUGUCCAUCUAUAACUACAAAAAAAAUUAAAAACACUAAAAACAUUGGCUAUUUUAAAAUAAACAUCUUAUAGCCAGGCAUGCCUGUAAUCCCAGCUACUUGGUAGGCUGAGGCAGAAUGGUCACAACUGUGAGACCAGCUUGGGCACCAUAGUGAGACCCUGUCUCAAAAAUAGAUAGAUAGGGGCUGAGGAUGUAGCUCAAGCAGUAGCGCGCUCGCCUGGCAUGCGUGCGGCCCGGGUUCGAUCCUCAGCACCACAUACAAACAAAGAUGUUGUGUCCGCCAAAAACUGAAAAAUAAAUAUUAAAAAAUUUUUUAAAAAAAUAGAUAGAUAAGCAUGUUUAAGUUAGAAACAUCAAACAUGUCUUACAUCUGAAUAACACUUAUUUAUUUUUUAAUACCUUUAUUUUAUUCAUUUUUUUAAUGUGGUGCUGAGGAUCGAACCCAGUGCCUCACAUGUGCUAGGCAAGUGCUCUACCACUGAGCCACAACCCCAGCAUUUUAUUUAUUAUUAUUUAUCAACCCAGUGCAUUUUAUUUUAUUAUGAAGCAGGAAGGCUGUCCCUCAGGUUGAGCGCUCAUCUUCAACAUUGCGUUGUUCUUUGCAGAAAGCAGGCUCAGUUCCUUGAAUCAACUUAGCAUCAGUAGCCUUUCCAUGAGGACUAUUUUAGGGUGUUUUCACUGCCACAUGAAGAUUGCUCUGAGCUUUUACUUUUUACUUUACUAGGAUCUUGGUGGCAGUUCCAUCCAUCAUUAAGUGGCCAAGUUAGGGGUGAGAUAACAAAGCCUCCACAGUCCUUUGCCUCUAAACUACAGAGUGGGCCUGUGGGCUGCUCUGAUACAGUGGGAUUGUCAACAGAAGGAAUAAAAGGGAAAACUACCUUUUAAAACUAAAAGUGGAGUUACCCCAUGAUCCAGAAAUUACACCAUUAGGACCAUAUCCAGAGAAAUGAAAUCAGUAUGUUGAGGAGACAUCUGCCUUUUCAUGUUUAUUGAAGCACCUACUCACAAUAGCCAAGAUAUGGAAUAAACCUGGGUGUUUAUGGAUAGAUGAAUGAAUAAAGAAAACAUAGUAUGUGUACCUAAUUGAAUAUUAUUCAGCCACCAAAAAAUGAAAUUUUGUCAUUUGCAGCAACAUAGAUGGAACUAUAUUAUUCAUGGUUUAGAAAAAUGUGGAACAAAACAUGUAUGUAUAUAGAUAUAUGUGUAAUGCCCUCUAUGUCUACACAUACACAGUAUAUAGAGGGAAUUAUGUUAAGUGAAAUAAGUCAAGCAUAGAAAGACAAACACUGCAUGUUCUCACUUAACAUGUAAAGCUAAAAAGUUGAUCUCAAAGAAGUAAAGAGUAGAAUAGUGGUUACCAGAUUCUGGAAGGGUAUUCGGAAGUAAUGGAUGGUGAGAGGAUGGUUAACAGAUACAGGAUGCACUUGAAUAGAAGGAAUAAUUUCUAAUAUUUCAUACCAUGGUAGGAUAGCUAUUGUUGACAACAAUUAAUUGAAUAUUUCAAAUUAGCUAAUAGAGAGGAUUUUGAAGGUUCCUAACACAAAGAAAUAUGUCUGAGGUGACAAAUAUUCCAAUUACCCUGAUCUGAUCAUUACACAUGUAAAGAAUUAUUCAAUAUUUACAUACAUGUAUUGAAAUGUCACACUAAAAAAAUAAAUAAAUGUCACACUGUGUCCCAUAAAUAUGUACAAUUAAUAUGUGUCAAUUAAAAAUAAAACUAUAUUAACAUUUUUAAAUCCAACAGAUAGGUGUCCUAUUAUAUGUGGCACAGAGGAAACUAUCCUAUAUACCUGUUCACUCAGUCUUUUCCAGAAGGGAUCACCUCCAUGAUAGGAAGAAGGGCUAAUAGUUCCCGCCCUUUAUUUUUUUCUUACAUGAAAUAAUAAACAGUUUUAAUUUUCCUUAAAAGUCAUUCCUAUGAUUAAGGUUAAUAUAUUAGGUGUAAUAAUGGGAUUGUGGUCAUAUCUUUAAAAAGAGUAGUUAUCUUCACUAUAUAUAGUAAAGUACUUAUGGAUUAAACAUAGGAUUCCAGGAAUUUAUUUAAAAUAAUUGAGGGGGUAGGAACUUGUUAUACCCUUCUGCAAUUAAAAAUCUGAAAAAUCCUAUGGAAUUGAGGUCAACAUAGAGAAAAGGAAAAUAUUACAUUGAUCUGUGUUACAUUACGCUGAAUCUAAUUUAUGACACGUGGGGGAGAAGCUCCUUUAGUUGUCUUGAAGCCAGCGUCCUAUGGAAGAAUAAAUGGAAAAAGCUAAGAAAUUCAACUCAAGAAAACAUUGUCUAGCACUCAUGGACUUGUGUUGGAUCUUCAAAGAAUACACUGAGAACCGAUGGCUAGAGAGAAGGCAGAAUUCAUAUCUAAGUACUAUUAUUCAAAGCAGAAUAAGUCCAUUUCAUAAAUCAUGGAAGAAAACCAGGAAGAAAACAGCUGUGAGGGCAGUGAGGCCAAGGACUAACAAGCAAAUGCCACUGGGUUUGGCCUCAAGAGUCUUUGGUGACCUUCCAGGGAACAGCAUCAGGAGAGCAGAGUGGCUGCAGCCAAGACAGAGCUGGCAGCUCGAGGUGACUGAGACGGAGAGACUUGAGAAGGGGCAUUUUUGUUUUGUUUUGAUUUAUGAGUAGGGCAUUUCCCCCCAAAUAUUUUUACAGUAAAAUAAUUCUGAGUUUCAUGACAUGCUUCAAAGAAUGGCCCCAUUUACUUCUGUAUUACAAAAGUCCCCAUGACACCGUAUUGUAAACAGUGCAGUUACACUUUAAUGCAAACAUAUCAGACUAUUCGUUCCUAAUUCAAAUUUUUAGUAGUUGUAGUCCUCAAAACUCAUAGUGGCUACAGUUAAUCACAAGACAUCAUUAGCAAUCUGCUUUAUAAUUUUGCUACGAAUAAAGAAAAAUAAAAACAAGGAGAGGAGAAUACAGCCUCUCUAGCAAGUUAUAGUGCUAUUGUCAGAAAAGGAGCAGGCACGGAAAAGGAUUUGCUAUUGUUAAAAAAAAAGGGGGGGGCCAAAAAUUGCCACAGUCUGGCUGGGCACAAAUGCCGCAGUCUGGCUGGGCACACAAUCACGAGCCACCACACAGCUUGUAGAUUCAANGGCAAAAAUGAGAAGGAAAUAUGAAGACCAAGUACACACAAGAUAAAGCUUUUCCUAGUGGCUGUGUCCCUGCAGCCCAGAUGAGGAGGGAAAUGGAGAUGAAUGACUUUUUUCCCCCUUGACCUGACUUCCUUGACUCAGCUCCACUGCAGCACACAGCUAAGCCCAGGAGGAAACAAGAAAGGCCUUGGGGCCUUUGCAAUCUCUGUCAGUCUGUGCUCUGCACCUCCAGAAUCUGUAAGAAUAUCCUCAAGUCCUGAGUCCCCAGGUAAAGUCCAUUUAGUCUCAAUGGAGACCUUGUUCCAGUGAGCAGGUUGACUGCGUUAGAGGGCCUCAAAAUGAAUGAAUGAAUGAAUGAAUAAAUAAAUAAAUAAAAGCUGCCCAUUAGGUAGUGCUUUAUUUUUAUCUUCUGGACCCUAUAAAUCACAAAAUUAUUUCUCUCUUUUAGAUGGGUUACUAAAAAGCUCAGAACCAAAUCUGUAAACCAUUUCUCACAAAGAAUGCAGAAACUUCUUUUUUUUAAAUUUUUUUAGAUAUUGAUGGGCCUUUAUUUUAUUCAUUUAUUUAUAUGCGAUGCUGAGAAUCGAACCCAGUGCCUUACACAUGCUGUGCAAGUGCUUUACCACUGAGCCACCACCCCAGCCUGCUGCAGAAACUUCUGACAUGUAUUUUUUUUGAGAGACUAACCUGGCCCAAUUUUAUUUCUCUUACCCUUACUUUUCUUCCUCUGAAUGCCUAAUUUAUUGUUACAUUAUUACACUUUUAAAAGCUGCAUUAUUUCCUCUAUAAAAUAAGUUGAAGAGGGUUUAAAGAAAAAACUAUUAAUACAAAAUGAAUGAAAGACUGAAAUGCCCAGGCAACGUGACAAUAAGAAAAAAUUAUUGUAUAGAAAAGAGACAAGAAAACUAUAUACACAGACACACAAUAAUAAUAAUAACAACCACCACAGACCUAUGGAGUCAAAAGGCUUAAUAUUCUAGGGUUUCCUAGUUAAAGGACAAACAGCUUGUCACACACCUCAGGAUCCUCUAAGGGCAUCAUUGUGUCACAUCCCAAAAUAGCUACUCAUUUUCACAGUGAUGACUGAGUCAUCAAGAAGGGAACGAAUUAAUACUGUGUAAAAGUAUCUAUCUAUCCAUCUGUCUGUCUAUUAUCUAUCUUAUCUAUCUAGUACCAGGAAUGAACCUAGGGGAGCUCUACCACUGAGCCACGUCCCCAGCCCUUUUUAUUUGAAACAGGGUUUUGCUAAAUUGCUUAGGGCCUCUCAAAGUUGCUGAGGCUGACAUUGAACAAUCCUUUUAAGUUUCUGGGAUUACAGGCGUGCACCGCCACACCCAGCAUAUAUUUUGUUUUCAAAAGGAAACUUUGUAAAAUGAUGAGCUUCUUUAUCCUAAGUACAUGUAUGAAGACACGAAUGGUGUGAAAAUACUUUGUGUACAAUCAGUGACUUGAAAAAUCGUGCUCUACAUGUAUAAUAUGUAAUUACAUUCUGCCAUCGUGUAUAACAAAUUAGAAAAAAUAAAUAAUUGAAUGGAAAAAAAAAAGGAUGAGCUUCUGUGAGUUAUCAUUAAAUGAUGUCAGGAAAGUUAAGUUUUCUGUAAAAGGUUUUGAGUUGCUCUCCAGAGAGUUCUGUGGAUAGCACAGAAUCACAGUUCUGUGGAGAGCCUAUUCCAACAGGGAAAGAAUGGGAGUGGAAGCCAUAUGACCUCAUGUAGCCAAACAAAAGAAAAAGAAAACAAACCAUCCCUGUAGUUUGCCUGAAGGAAGUGUGUCAACAACAUUCCACUAGUCACAUAUUAAGUUCUCUUGACUUAGUGUCAAGGUGUGUGGUAUUAGGGACCCAUCCCAGGGCCUCCUGAGUGCUAGGCAAGUGUGCUACACCCAGGGCCCUAAGUUCUCAUGAAGUGAAAAGAAUCUCAGUUAGUUCCUCAUUGAUGAGUUCAGAUUUGGUAUCAGGUUAUAUAACAGAACAACUACUUUCUUUUCACCUCCCAGGAAAUAACCUCUUACAGGGAAUCUCCUCUCUACUCCCUCUAAAAAUGAGACAUUCUGUAUCCCAUCCUCACUGGCUUUUGUUUGUUUGUGUUUGUGUGUGUGUGUGUGUGCACGCCUGCACGCACUUUGAACCAGGAGGACGUGGGCUGUGAGGAGAAGCUGUACUUCGGCUUGAAUGAAUACAGCAAGUCUCUGCAGUGGGGGGUCACAAGCCCACUCCUGAGGUGCGAUGAGACCUUCGAGAAGAUGGUGAACACGCUCUUGGAGAGGUAAAUAAGGACGCCUGCCCUUUUCUUUAGCUGUGCUUACAUGUCACAGGGAGUUUGGAGCUCAUGCAGAUGACAUGCAGAGGCCAAAUAAGAAAAGCCUCUUCUUCUAAGAUGCCUUUUACCCUAUGGGUUUCACGUGAUCACCUGAGACCAUCAGAGGAAGACGUGACCUAAAAUAGUGACCUACAGUAGGGCACAGCACCCCUUUUCAUGCCCUGAAUUGUCUCCCAAUGAAGCGUCAUUGCUACCAGCAAGAGGUUGAAAGGUCAGAAAGGGAUUUUGCUCAUUAAAGACAUCUCUCUGGCCGCCCUGACCCUGUAUUUCGGGCUUCUACGUCUUCUCCUCUUUCCUCCUGUUGACCACAGGAAAGCAUCCUCAGAUGACUUUGUAAAAACCAAACUUGACUAUGAGAGAGGUGGAGGACAGACUGAAGAAAGUUAGGGAACAAUCAGAGAAUUUCGGUGUGUUCAGUUCUUGGGGUCCCUCUUUCAGUCUCUGAUGCUUAGAGAUUAAGGAUAAUGAUUCUUCUGGCUUGUCUGCCUUUUAUUCCUCAGUUCUAGGUCAAACCCUGAAAGAGUUUUUUCCUUUUCUUAACUUGAAUCAUAAACUCGAAGAUUAGUUAAAGGCAUUUCCUUAACCUAAUAGAAGUUUCUCCUUGUCCUCGGCCUCAGUAUUCUAUGAUCAUCCAACAAUGGAACCGUAUGACUCUAUUGUAUGAGGCAGAUUGUAAUUUUUAGUAACUGUGGUUCUUAAAAUUAGCCUCAGUUGAUCACAAGCUAUCUGUUUAACAAAUCUGCUCUCUAUAUUUUGCUAAGGGAAAAAUAAAAUAAGAGACAAGUGGAUACAUCCUAACUAGCUACUUAAAAUGUUGCCUCAGGAAAUAGGAGUUGGCCUAGAUUUGAUUUCUUCACAGCUGUUAGAUUUGAGAAGUCUUAGCUGACACUGUUACAUUAAUCCUUUCACAGAACAUGUUAUCCCAAAUUUCCAAAAUUAUCCAUGAGUCUCCCCUUUAAAGUCUCCCACCCAUUCCAUGUGCCAGCCCGGAAUACAUUUUUCUUCCCAGGAACAUCAGAGACUCAUAACUUAUAUUUUAAAAGAUGAUCCCAUCAACUUCAAUUCCAACUUUUGUAAUACACAACUACAGUUUGUAGUCUAAUAGAAAUGUAACAGAUUGGAGAAACUAGUUGCUUUUAAAUUCAUAAUUCUUUUCCGAGUGUGAAAGGUAAGGGCCUAUAUAUCAAAGUUACCAUUUAUUCUAACCUUGGCUUUUUUUCCACAUGGCCAAGCAAAACAGAACAAAACACCCUAAGCUUUAAACACAGAUCAUCUGUGCUUUCCUCCUCCAAUGCCGUCUCUUGCAGGCUAAUAAUAGCUAUGAUUUAUUGAACAGCUGAAGGAACUGGCCCAGGAUUGGUGGAACUGAAAUUUUUCUUUACUUUUUCCCCACUAAAACCUUGUAAUGUGUGAAGAAAUUGUCAGAGACCUGAAAAAAAACAGACCCAGCUCAGUCUCCGACAAGUUGUGUGAUCUAAGACGAGGAUGAAUGUCUCUCAGCACCUUAACUCAUUCUGCUCUGAAAGGACUGCUGGUCCUUUCCCCUCUGAAACUCUUCAAAAACAUGUUAUUCGUUUGAUGACCCUAAUUGGUAUUUGCCCCUGGAUUGUUCUGUGCAGGCUGGUGGAACAUCUGUAUUUUGAUUAUAAAAUGAAACAAAUGGAAAUCCCCCACAAUCCAUCCAGUAGCCGGGCAGCCAGGAAGACAGUGCACAGGCUCAGCCCAGCCAAUCCUGGGCCUGGCUCUGCUUUGCCAGCACUCAGUUAGCCACUCAUCUAGUCAUUAGCCUUCCUGAGGAAUAGAGAUUUCUUUUCUACAUGCUCUGUAAUUUUACAAGUUGCCAGUUUCAAUAAAGUGAUCCUCUCUAAGCAGGGACCAAGGGGUGUCACGCUCACAGGCUCACAGCUCUAGUUGGCUUUUCCCCCUUGACUAAUUUGGGUCUCAGACAAUAAAGAGCCCAAGCCACUAGAGGGUGCUCUUUCACCAGUCAGCUCCCCUGUUUCCAGCAAGGCACAUUUACAGGAAGCCAUCUGUAGGGCUGACCUGAAAUUAGAAAUGAUUACCCGUUUUAUGUUGACACUCCAAAAAUACAGUAAUAUCUCCCUUUACUGUAACUUAAGUGUCAGAGAACUGAGUAGACAACAUUGCCAUUCUAACCCAAUGCCACCAGCAAGAGGUUAGGACCCAAGGAUUAUCCCUUAAGAGUCUAACUAGGCCAAUGCAUUCCAGAAUUUAAUGUACACGUGAAUCACCUGUGGAUUCUGAUUCAGUAAGUCAGGAGGGUGGGCAUUUCUAACAACCCCCCAGGUGCUGCUGUUGCUGGUCUAGAGCCCACACUUUUGAGAGGGUAGGGCCACAAAGCAUUCGUAAGCCUCUUGGUUUUACCUGUCCCAUGGGGCCAUUACUCACAUGCUUUGGAAGCUCAACUUCUCCUUCUAGUGAUAUGGGAUCCAAGGUCCUUGUAGAGCUCACACUCCUGAUCAGGAGCCCCUUCCCUGCCAUGCUCCAUCUGCCUUUUGCUGCCUGGGCCUCGCUGUUCCAACUGUCCUGCUGCUGAGUGCCAGGCCCCUGUGCUCUUUUGAAGGUACCCCAGGCUGCACAGCAUGGUCGUCCGCUGCUACCUUCUCAUCCAGCAGUACUCGGAGGCCCUGAUGGCUCUUACUACCAUGGCGUCACUACGAGACCACAGCACACCAGAAACACUCAGCAUUAUGGAUGACCUCAUCAGCUCCCCAGGAAAAAACAAAAGUGGGAGGGGACACAUGCUCAUUAUCAGGGUGCCCUCGGUGCAGCUGGCGAUGUUAGCCAAGGAGCGACUGCAGGAGGUGCGGGACAAGCUGGGUCUACAGUAUCGCUUUGAGAUCAUCCUUGGGAACCCGGCCUCUGAACUCAAUGUUGCAACCCACUUUGUGGCACGAUUAAAGGUUAGCAAAGGACAUACAUUAGUUUCUGUUUUCCAGGAAUCUGAAAUACCAUUUGUUUCUGUUUUCCAGGAAUCCUAUCUAGGUGGCUUAGAGGCCUGAGUUUAGUAGAUUUUUGCACGUGUGUGCAUGUGAUCUCCAGAACAGUGUCAGGGCUAACAUGAGGAAUAUGUUUGCUUUCAUUAAUUGGAGCCAGAUUCUCAAGAUUCUGUCAAGCCCCCUUGUUAGCAUGUGCAUGCAGUUGGUCUCCGUGCUCUCCAACUGCAGGUGCAAAAAAUGAGAUGACCCCAUUUGACCCCAUGUUUAUUGACCUUGUUCGAGAUGCAUCUAGCCCACGGCCAUCUGUUUUCUCAGGAACAAAAGGUAAGCUGUUCUCUGGGACCUUGCUGGGGUCUCCUUUUCAGUAUCCUCAACUCACUAAUUCUUUUCUGUCCAUCUAGCCCAUCUGUCAGCUCAUGGCUAGAGUCGGUAAAGUAUCCCAUUUCAUCUUCAGUACUCAUCUAGAACUGCUUCUAGCCCUUGCAUGUGAAUUUCUCAAUAAUUUGUUGUUUCUUUGUACUUGCUUUGACCUUCAGCCCCCAGGCUUGGCUGGACUGAGACUUAGGGCCUCCUACAGAGGAAUUUAGUGCAUGACAAAGCCCCUCACUGCUGCCUCCAGGACUGACUGAUUGCCUGUCCCCUACCCCUCCUGUCAGGAUGAAUCAACUAACCUAACUUCCUACCUUUAUGCCUGGCUCAGUUUUUUUUGUUUUUUGUUUUUUUUUUUCUGGAAACUUUUACAAUUCAGUGUGUCCUAGCCAUUAAAAAGCACUUAAUCAAACACAUACAUAAUGGUAUGGAAAUGAACUAGGUACUGUACACCUGAGUUAAAAUGACACAGUAUCUGCACCCUGCAUACUAAAUCCUAAACUAAAUCUGGGUAAGAAAAAUCUAGUUUGGCACAAACUUCAUGAAAAGAAAGCAUGUGGUCUUGGGGAAUUUGCAUUUUCACCCUGGGUUGCAGUUCCCCAUCUAUAAAAUGAGAAAGUUGGACUGUAGUGAUUUCCAAGAGCUCGAAUUUGGGGAUUUUUAGUGUUUAUAAAUCAUUUUGCAAAUGCACGCCUUUUUAUUAUUAUACUAGCUAAAUUGAAUAAAAUGCAGAACAUCUCACAUUAGUUUGAUAAGCAACUAGAAUAAAUUAAAUUAUCCAAAAAUGAAAACUCUUUCCUAUAUUAAAUAGAAGUUGCAACAAUUAUAUUUCAGAUCUAGAUAUGUGUUCACAAUUUUUUAUUAUGAUCAUAGGCCACAUUACAGUGGAAUUCCCAGGAUGAAUAACAUUUCGGAGAUAAUAAUUUAGAAAUAAAUAAUAAAAAGCUUAUUGACACACACAGUUUUAGGUCGGUGAUUUGGAAGGGCCAGUCUCUAAGUCAGUAUAUAUCAGUGGAUCCUAAAUAAUUUGUUCCUCUGGGCCAUUGUUUGAAAACCAUAAUCAAGGCCUAAGGUUCUUCACAGCUGGCUCAAAAGAAUCACCUGCAGGGCUUUUAUAGGGUGAUUGGUUGAUGUAGCAAGGGACUAAGACCACUAUUCCAAGAGACUGCCAUACAGAAUGGGUCUAAAGCAGUUAUAUGACCCAGAAUUUGUAUGUGUAGCUGUCACCCACCACCCACACAUAAGGGAGCCCCAUUUUCUCAAAACACUGAAUCACAUCAAUCUACCUUUUUUUAAAUACCUUUUUUUUAAUUGUAAAUGAACCUUUAUUUUAUUUAUUUACAUGCUGUGCUGAGAAUUGAACCCAGUGCCUCACGAAUGUGAGGCAAGCGCUCAACCACUGAGCUACAACCCCAAUCCCCAAUCUAUCCUUUUGAUAUCCUUUGUUUCGGAGUGAAAAUAUGAAAUCCUAUGGGAACAUUCACAUCUAAGCAAAACUGCCUCUUGCUGGAAGGAUUCUGGUUCAUCUGUUUGUUUCUAAGUUACCAGCUUCCUUUACCUUUCUCAGGAUGGCAUAGGGCCUUUAUCUCUAGUCCUGGUUUAAAAAAAAAAAAAAAAUCCCACACUGCUUCCAUUAUAGGAUCUAAUGUUUGUGCUUACCCCUAAAUAUCCUAUAUGUAUUAUGCUUAAUUUACAAAUGUUGACAAGCUCUUUGAAAGGCUAUAUAGGUUCAUAUCCAAGUAAAUCAGUUCCUCCAACAGGCAUAUGAAGCUUUCCUAAGAUUUCCUUGGUCUUGAGCCACAUGUUAUCCUGGAACUCAAUGCUUGUCUAGUCUUUUCAGUUGUCUGUGUUUCUGUAGUAAAAUCCUGAGGGCAGGGUUCAUCCAUGGAAGAACUGUAGCCAUCAUUCAUCAGAAGUAGCAAUGUGGGAGACCAUUUUAUAGUGGGUUUGGCUAGUUCUGAUUGGUCAAGAGUGAGAUGUGUGUAAUAAUCUUCUGAAAAUAAAUCUCCUUGUGUAGUAAAACAUUCUGUUAUCCCAUCAUUACAACCCAACCUCAUUACUCAUGUUGGAAACCUGAACUGUGGAUGGUUUCUGGAAGACAGAGCAUGUUUGGGGAGAAUCCCAUUGUCAGGGAUACCAUGAAUCCAGUGUGAAGGCCUUAAGUAAAAUGAUUCCUAUUUCAGAAUUGGUUGCUUUCAAUCAAGUAAUGUUAUGGUUUCCUUUGACAUAAAAUGGUAUGGAAAAUUGAAUUUUUAUAGAGUCUUCUAGUAUUUUUAAAUCUUUUUGAUUUAACAAUCUGAUUAGCCGGGCGUGGUGGUGCAUGCCUGUAAUCCCAGCAGCUCGGGAGGCUGAGACAGGAGGAUCAUGAGAAAAAGAGAGGCACCAAGCAAUUCAGUGAAAUCCUGUCUCUAAAUAAAAUACAAAAUAGGGCUGGGGAUGUGGCUCAGUGGUUAAGUGCCCCUGAGUUUAAUCCCUGGUACCCACCCCCCCAAAAAAAAAAUCUGACUGAUUUUCUAAGACAUGGUAAGUCUCUCAAACUUGUAAAUAGUUACAUAGAUGUACUGAUUUUCCCUUAGUAUGCAUAUGUGCAUAUAAAAAGAUUGGGCAACAAGUAAAAGCUUAGAAUGGUUUUCUUUCUUCCAGUUUUACAAAAUAUAAAAUUUUUGUUUGAAGUAAUGGUGGUAUAUUUUCUUUUAGAAACUGGUUUCUCUUCAUUGGUUUUUUUUCUAGACAAAUCAUUAUUCAAACUCAAUUAUAUUAUCUUUUACCACAUUUUAUACUUAGUAUAAGAAAAUACCCUUGUAUUUUAAAUCUGUAAGCUGUCUUUACUUUUGAAGAUCUUUCAAGUUGGUAAAGUUGCUUCCUUUUCAUUGAUAUAUUCAUGUAUUCAAGAUUGAUGUUAAGGCUACCCGGAGGUGUGUCCAUGUAUGUGUGUUAAUAUAUAUGGCCAAUGGAUGCUCAGUGGAUUCUUUGUGAAACCUUGAGCAAAUUGCACUACUCUUUCAAAUAAAGACAGUUUUAUUUUUCCUUAGUCCAGCCUGGUUAGCCUGCAUUUUUAGCAUUCUCACAAGAGAUUCUGUGGAGGCCCCAAGCCAACAAUUACUUGUUGGUUAUUUUUAAAGGCAAUAAAGUGAGAAAAAGAAAAAAUAACCAUCAGAAGUAGCUAACUUUGCUAUGUUUUUUUUUUUUCAGUGAAAAUUGCUCUGAUGGGCUUUUGGGAUUCUUUUCUCACUCAUUCACAACCGAAGCUGUCAUUUUUAGUCAGCCAAUCCCAAGAGUUUGUUCAUUAUAUGAAGGAAAUAUGUUUAAGUGUUCACAGGCAGUGCAGUGAGGAUUUCCAUAAGGUCUGUAUCUCUGGUGAGAUAUUUCACAUUGUGUUUUUUAACCUGUAUGAGGUAUACCAAGGUCUCCUAUUUUAUCCUAUUGAGAUAAAAGCUAAAGCCCAUGUUUUCAUAAAGUGCUUCAUAUAUGCUUUUUAAGGUAGUGAUUAGAAUAUCUAUAUACACAUUCAUACUUAGUGGAAGUCAUUAGUAAGUGCAGUGUGUCUAAAAUUUGGACCUAGAAACUUUACAAAGGUGGAAGCCUAAAUAAGGAGUUUCAGAGUUUUAACUGUUUUAAUGGUUCUCUCUCUAUAGACAUGGAGAGGAAAUGAGCCGGAAGAAUGGAUCCCUCGGACAUACCAAGACUUAGAAGGUCUGCCAUGUAUAGUGAUAUUAACUGGCAAAGACCCUCUUGGAGAAACCUUUCCCAGGUAUAGUCUGAAUAACCGAACUCUGCUUGCCACCAGGUGGCAGCUGCACUGAUGAUUAAAACUUGGCUGAUGCAUGCUUAUUAGUCUGAGGUAAUGAGAAGAAGGUUGUUUCAUUCAGGGAUGUAAGAAUACAGCUUUCCUUCCUUGUCUCUUUCCACUUUCCAGAGAGCACCCUCCAAUUCUGGGAAUGGAGAGAGCCACAUUUUAAAAUGUUUGUGCAUGAAAGCAAGGCAGCCAGAGAGGCUGAGAGGAAAAGCAGAGUUUUUUGUUUUGUUUUGUUGUUGUUUGGUACUGAAGACUGAACCUAGAGUCACUUUCCCACUGGCCCUUUUAUUCAUUGUUUUAAUUCAAAAAUUUAUUUUAUUUUAUUUUUCUAGUUAUCAAUGGACCUUUUUAAAAAUUUAUUUAUAUGUGGUGCUGAGGAUCGAACCCAGUGCCUCACACAUUCCAGGCAAGUGCACUACCACUGAGCCACAGCCUCAGCAUUCAAAAUUUUUUUGAGACAGGGAUUCAUUAAGUUGGUGAGGCUGGCUUUGAACUGUCCGUCCUCCUGCUUCAGCCUCCUGAGUAGCUUUGUUUACAGGUGUGCCUCUGCACUGGGCUUUUUUUUUUUUUUUUAACAAAGUACUUUGUCUCUGUUGCUCUGCUAUUCCCAAUCCCAUCAAGGAUCUACGGUGCAGAGUUUGGAAGGCAGCUCUAAUAUAAGCAUCAAUUGGAUGCUUAUGGAGUCCAUCGGGCUGUGCCCUAAAUACAUUAUGUGUUUCAUGCUGUCCUUCCUUGCAGUGACCAUAGUAGGGCUCUGUGUUUUCUAUUUGAAAGAAGAUGAAUUGCAAAGAAGUUCAGGUGGUAAUGUCUGGGAGGUGGCAGAACUGAGGUUUGAAUCAAGGUGUAGCCCUGGUCUUCACUGCUGCAUGACAUACAGGACCUACAGGUCCAGCUUAGACACUGCACACCCAGCCCCAGGGACUCACUACCAAUGCAAUUAAUUCUGUGCAGGUCUUUGAAGUACUGUGACCUCCGGUUAAUUGACUCAAGCUAUUUAACUCGCACGGCCUUGGAGCAGGAGGUGGGUCUGGCCUGCUGCUAUGUCUCAAAAGAGGUCAUCCGAGGGCCCACUUCCGCCCUGGACCUCAGUGGCAAGGAGCCAGAGAGGGCCCCCGUCAUUGAGAAUGACUCUGAGGAGCUGCUCAUUGACCUGGAGCGGCCACAGAGCAACAGCAGCGCUGUCACGGGAACUUCGGGUAGGUACUCUUUCCUUUCUCACAGGAGGGACAGGCCAGGAGGUGUGCAGGUGUGGAAGGCAGAGCUGUUUACGGACCCCUACCGUGCCCAGAGCAGCCAUGGCAACUGUGGCACCCUCUCUAGACCUCAGCUUCCCAGGAGGGCUACCUGGAAAGCAAGGCUGCAGAAUAGUCAUAGCCUACUUCUCUGGGUAAAAAUUUGACCAAGAAUUUGAUAAUAGAUUAAACAGAAUACAUUUUCCCAACCCAGCCUGCACCCCGCUCCCUAGCACUUCCCAUCCUAUCUCCUGUAGUCACUGUACAUCUCAUAUUUGUACAAAAGCCCCCUUUCCUGCCAGGGCCUGAAGCCAUAAGUUUAUGUUGAGUAGCUUACAGCCCGGAACAAAACAUGUUGAGCGAGGGAAUAAAUGACUUUCCUCAAUACUUAGUGGCAAGUGUUCGUAGAGGGCAGGCAUCUCGGGUUGACUGGGAAGAGCCUCCAUGAGCCUGCCGGCCCUUCUUUCAGCAUUCUGAAUGUGGCCUGGCCUGAAUUUCCUUCUGAUAAAUUAUAGGACAGCAAAUCCAGCCCUAUGUUCUAGUCUUUUCUGAUUAUGUUAGUAGUAAAGCCUAAUGUAGAAAACUCAGAGAAUGUAACAAGAUACAGAGAUUCAAAGUGAAACAAUCCAUCGCCAGAGGUAACGCCAGCAACCUCUGAGGCUGCACAUCCCCCAACUCCUUUCCCUUUUUCCUCAACCUAUUAUUUAGAUCAUUUUUUCACACACACACACACACACACAAUAUUUUGUGUCCAAGGCUGUGCUGGUGUUCCUGUUUAUUCUGUCAGCAGCUGUUAGAUGGCUCUCUGGGAACUAAAGAGGCCCUGGCCUGUGGGGUUUUCUGUCCUCGCCACCGAGGGCCUGAAGGAGCAGGAGACCCGCCCUUCUCCCUGUGCACAGCUCUCCCUCCACAGGACCAGCCUGCCCCUGUUUACACUUCCAGCUCCCUCAACCCUAUCACUAUAAGUCUCCCCAAUUUUCCCUCUGAGACUAUCUCAACAUAAAGUCAUAAGAUAGUAAAGGGUAUCAGAGGAGUACAGGGAAAUGUCACCUUUAGGAGCUUUGGGAUUCAGGGGGCAUCAGGAAGGGAAAGGUGGGGAUGGAGGGACACCUGUCUCCCUCCUGCACUUCAGAGCGGAUCUGCGCCAUGUGGCUCCUACACCUCAAGCUCCAGGAGGCUCACACAGAGGAAAUGGUUUUCCCUCUGCUUCUUAGUCUCCUGCCCCACGUUAGUUUUCCUGCUCACAACAUGGGCAUCUGGAACCCCGCCCGUGGGCUCCCUCUGCGGGUGACAGGGCUGAGGGAGUUGUAAAACUCAGAGGAGCAGUGAGUGACUUGGUUUUAAUAGCCACCAGCUCAGGACCUCUCAGGUCUGGAUCUUGCAAGGCUGGGAUUAGACCUACAUGCCUGCACAGCACCAGCCUGAGCUGAAAGAACCUUUAGCCGGAGUAUAAGGAGCUUGUAUUGUCUCAAUCAAACAGGCUGACCUGUUGGGGGGGAAACAACAUACUCAAAGUUAAUUGGCCAAAUGUGGAGGAAUAGCCCUGGGGACGUACAACACCUGGUACUGAGUAAGAAUGCCUUCCAUCCUCUUUUGCACGGGGACAUCCCCACCCUAGGGAGCUUAGCCACAGCCAGCCAUGUGAGAGGCCUGGAGCCCUAAACCCCACCUCAAGGCAGCCACUGCCACUGUAGGGAACUUGAAUCUGGUGCCUGUAUCCACCAGGGUCCUGGAGGGAUCCCGUGUCAUACUGAAUGAGUGGGUUGGAGAAGAGUUUAAUAAUGGGACUGAUUCCCCGUGGGCACAAUUUUGAAAGGGAGCAACAGGUGACAUUGUGCAUGGAAAGUUAACCUGGGAGCCCUGUCCACCAUCAGGCUUGAAGGAAGGCAGGAAGGAGCAGUUACUGAGACCCAAGAAAGAAAGGCCACCCAGGGUGACCACACAGGAAGAAAGUGAGAACCAACUUCUUGCUGGUGUCUCCCAUUGGCCAAACCCAUAAAAAAGGCAAAGCAAGGGAGCAGGCUGGAGCGGUGUGGAGACUCAGGCAAAGGGAAGAUUUAGCACAGAGUCUGCAGCCCACAGAGCUGGGCCAGGAUCCAGCUGCUUUGAGGGCCUUUGCCCUCUCCCUCGGCAACAGUGAUGAGUGGGUGUAGGGAAGGUUCUGUCCGUCGUCUUUCAGGUUCCAUCAUGGAGAAUGGGGUCAGUUCCUCCAGCACAGACAAAUCCCAGAAGCAGUCCCUGACCCCCAGCUUCCAGAGCCCAGCCACCAGUGUGGGGAUGGACGAAGGUGUCUCGGCCAGCACAACUGGAGCUGGGGACCCCCUGAAGCAGGAGUGUGACUCCCUGGGCCCUCCAAUGGCCAGCAGUACCACCUCCAAGCCGUCGUCGUCGUCCUCGGGACCCAGGAGCCUUGCAUGGCCAGGGCAACCUCCCAGAGGCUGUAGGGGCCUACACGCCACCCUGCCCCCAAUCGUGAUCUUAUCCAAAGCAGCCUACAGCCUCUUGGGCUCCCAGAAGGGUGGCAAGCUGCCCUCCUCCUCGUCUCUGCUGCCCCAUGCUGAUGUGGCCUGGGUCAGCUCCCUGCGGCCAUUCCUGCACAAGGACAUGAGCAGCGAGGAGCAGUCCCUCUACUACCGGCAGUGGACCUCGGCUCGGCAGCACCAUGCCGACUUCAGCAACCAGCCCGACCCAGCCUCGGGUGCCCGGACCUUCCACCCCCGGCGGCUGCUGCUCACUGGGCCCCCCCAGGUAGGGACAGGCCAGGCUGAGCCCUGUCCUAGGCUAGGGCUGGCACAUCUUGCAUGUGGAGAGGAACCAGGGGACCUCCUUGGGGUGGGUGGGGGUGGCAGGCCUCGAGGAAAGACCUCCUUCAGGCCCCCGGAGUGAGGCGCCAAGGUGUGAAAUCUCUUUUCUCCUUCCCUUCCUUCUCUUCCCCUCCCCCGCCCUUCCCCAAUUAAAACUAUUUCCAUCAGGUGGGAAAGACUGGCUCCUAUUUACAGUUCCUUAGGAUCCUCUUCCGCAUGCUCAUCCGGCUCCUGGAGGUGGAUGUGUACGAUGAGGAGGAGAUCAAUACUGGUGAGUCCUGAGCCGGGCGGGACACAAACGCAUUAGACACCAAGUGCAGGGAGCUUGCUUUUGCUUUCUGGGGUUUCUAUAAUACCAAACUUGCCCUGCCCUGACAAAGGUUACCAAGGUUGAAGACAGGUAUGCCGGGCAAAUAAUUGUAAGACUGCCCUCUUUCAGUUCCAGGAGGUCAGGAGGACCUCCCUCUCUCCAGUGUCCAGCAAGUACAGGGCAACAGGCAUUUGAUAAAGGCUUGUUAGGCACCUUAAUUCCUAGAUGGCCAAACUCAUAAAAUCCCAACUUGUAGUGUUCAAUUUUGUAAGGAUCCAGGGAACAUUUAUAUUUUUAAUUCCAGUCCUUUGUUGGUUAGCCAGAGUGUAUCUUAUAUUUUAACCUCAGGUUGUGUGUGAAGGUGGAGGAUUACUAUAAGGAAAUGAAAACUUCCUGAGUGUAGAACCGAACACCUAUGCCACCGCUUCCCCUCUGCAACAAGAGACGAUGGAGGGGCUUGAGGGCUGUGGGGUCCAGUGUGCCAAUAAAGAUCUCCUGAGGGCUAGGGGUGUAGCUCUGCUGUGGACCCCUUGCCUAGUGUGCUGUAGGCUCUGGGUUAGAUCCUUGGCAUCAAACCAUAAACCUUUCAUGCUGACAGAAGUUGUGGGAGGCAGCAGAGGGGGCCUGGCAGAAGUUCUUCUGAGUCCCUCAGAGACGAGGACUGCCCUUGACAUCUUCUAUCAAAUCAGUUCUUGGAGAGCUUAUCUCACUUGUUUUUCUUAAAAUAGUUGGGCCUGUUCUAUGAACAGCCCCAAGACUAAUGCAGAUACAAAUAGAUAAAAAUCAGCCACGUUUAAUCAUUUUGUUAUGGCUUUAGCCCUGUACCCAUUCCUCACUAAUCCACAUCUAUGAUUUCAGAGACACACAUACAAUGUCCCCCACCCACAUCUCUUUGUGUCCCCAGCUAAGCUGCAUCAAAUCCCCUGGGGCCCACCACAGAGGAGAAGGAGAGCUUCAGGGUGGCCUCAAAACACCCCAAGCCUUGGAAAGGGGCUGGGACCAAAAAGACAAGCCUUUGGGAGCCAGGGCCCUGUUGUUCCUGCCAGCUCUCCCACCAGGCUCCCUGACAGCACAAGGAAGCGAUGCCUUUGAUUUUUAUCCUCAGAUUGUACAAGAGAGGUCUCAAAUCUUCCUCUGCUCCUGAGGCUGUGGUUGUCCAUCCCAGCCGGUCUGAUGGAAGAGCCUGGGCUUUCUUCGCACUCACUCUAGUGCAGGUUAACACAGUGGUGCUAUGGAGAGGCACAGUGACACUUCCUUAAACUAGAAUAAAACUUGAAAUUUUAAAUAAAAUACAAAAUUCAACUCAAGGCAUAAAAGUACUUGUUUGUGCUAAAAUAAUAACGGCAGCACUUCCAGUCUUUUAGGCUUCAUUUUCCACCAAAGUGUAUUUCUUUCAUUCCCUCUUUAAGCUACUUUUCUUUUUGGGGGGUGGGGGAGGUAGGAUACUAGGGAUUGAACCCAGAGGUGCUUAAACACUGAGCCACAUCCUUAGCCCUUUUUUAAUUUUUUGAGACAGGGUCUUACAAAGUUGGUGAGGUUAACCUUAGCCUCCUGAGUUGCUGGGAUUUCAGGCAUGCACCAUACCUGGCUUAGGCUGCUUUUUGAUCUUACACAUUUUACCAAUAGCAUCAUCUACUAGACACCAACUCUGCCUGCCAUUCCAAGAAACCAUCCCUAAAACUAUAAGAACUCAGGCACUUGGAGGGGUUAAGUUUGGUUCUUAUAGGUGUAAAGCAGUAUUCAAGCCCCAGCCUAACCUUGACCACACAAUGGAAUGAUCUAAGGAGCUCUGGCAGCAUGGUGGGUACCUGGGUAACAAAAGAGAUCCUGCCUUUACUCUUGUGGUGGGUGGGGCCUGAGAGUGGGGUUUCACGAGCUUCCAGGUAAUUUUAAUGUACAGCAGACACUGGCACUCUCAUCUUGAAGUCUCUUGGGUGUCAAUAUCUUAAAACCCCAUAACUAAAACUCUUUUAAGAAUUUAAAUCAUCCAAAUAAACAAGUUGUUUUUUUUUUUUUGGUGUGUGUGUGUGUGUGUGUGUGUGUGUGGGUUUUGGUGGGAAAUUCAGUUGAUCUAAUGGAUGCAAGAGUUUCUGAACUGGAUCUAUAGAGACUAGUGUAGGGGUGAACACUCCUUGCUUGAAGGAAUAAUUAUGGCUUUUUCUGUCCUGGGAUAAUGGGGCUCAUUUUUUCAGAAAUGCUUUGUUUACCCAUCGGGGCUUUAUGCUUCAGAAAACCUCUUCCUGACACUGUGGAGGGAGGGAGGGAGAGAGGGAGGUAGGUUAAUCUGCCUGUUCUGCACACUUCCUUCUUGUCCUAGAUCACAGUGAAAGCAGUGAAGUGAGCCAGUCAGAGGGAGAGCCCUGGCCUGACAUCGAGAGCUUCAGUAAAAUGCCUUUUGACGUCAGUGUGCAUGAUCCCAAGUACAGUCUGAUGAGCCCGGUGUAUACGGAAAAGCUGGCAGGGAUCAAACAAGGUCAGUGCAAGUGCAGCCAGGCUUACCUCCUGCAAAUCCAAGGAUACCAGAAAAUCAGGACACGAGGCCUGGGGCAGUUCAAUCUUUCGGAACAAUUUAAAUAAUUCUCCCAGUUUUCUCUUCUCUUUCUUAUUUACACACAUCAUCUUUUGAUUUUCUUUUUUUUUUAAGUAUUUAUUUAUUUUUUUAAUUGUAGUUGGAUACAAUACCUUUAUUUAUUUUUAUGUGGUGCCGAGGAUUGAACCCAGGGCCUCACCCGUGCUAGGCAAGCGCUCUACCACUGAGCCACAACCCUAGCCCAUCAUUUGAUUUUCAUACAUUCCUCUCAGGGCAUAAAUUAUAAAAUUCUUGGAAAAAAAUCCUUUUGGAAAAUAGAGGAUGUUUUUUUUCCCCCAGGUACAAGGGAUUUACACACAUAUUAUGGAAUGAUGGUUUUCUACCCCUUUUAUACACAGAAGUAAUAAAGGAAUGCAAAAUUGAGGAGCCCCGGAAACGAGAAACUGUAUCCAUGAUGCUGACCAAAUAUGCUGCCUACAACACCUUUCACCACUGUGAGCAGUGCCACCAGUAUAUGGACUUCACCUCUGCCUCCCAGGUGCAGCUCUCACCUUUGCCCCUGCCUUACAUCUCUGUUACCAAUAGGGAUUUGCGUGUAAGGAUAGGGGCGGAGGGAUAUAACAUAAGCCCCUAGAUAAAGUAUAGCUUAUUUAUGAGAAACAGCUACUCAUUGGUGAGAAAAAUGCAUGAAGCAAUGAUUAGAUGAGCUUUGGACUUACAGGGAUUGUGGGAGGGUAAGCAGCUUAGUUUUAGGGGCUUAAGUUACUUCAUGUGUCAUGUUUAGGUUAAAAAGCUGAGAUGCUUAUCUGUGAUUCUGAAAAAAACUAGAUAUUACAGUAUGCUCAGUAAAAGCCACCGCCCCGCCCCCCCUUGGGUUGUUGACUAAAAUGGCAGGAGUCCAUAUGGUGUGUCCUAACAAGUCUGAUUUUUCACCAAUCUAGGCACAUAUUACUUCUUGGGAUGAUUUUGACCAGUGGAGUCAAUGUUUCAUGCAGUGAAAGAAACACAGAAAGUGAGCCAUUAUCCCUUAGCAUUUGGCUUUUUUUGUGUGUGCUGUGGAUUGAACCCAGACGAUCACGUGAAUGCUUAAGCACUCACUGAGCUACACCCCCAGCACAGUAUUUUUGGCUAGUGCAUCUUUAAACACAAGGGAAUGGUAGCAAAUGACAAUAAAACCUAGAGCCUGUCCAUGCUGCUUUCUGCAAAUUUAUCUUCUUGAUUUUAUUUAUUUAUUUAUUUACUUACUUAUUUAUUUUUCGGAUUAUUUGGAAUUUAUUAUGUCUACUAGGCAUGAAAGUCAGAAAAUCCAGUAGAGAGUUGUCUAUAGGACUGUGGAUCAGUAUACAAUUUGGAGUUGAUAAAAUAAAACACUUAAGGCUUCAGAAAUAAAUCUCUUUAUAUAUUUUUUAUUUGUUCUGAUCAGUUAUACAUGACAGCAGAAUGUUCUUUGAUUCAUUGUACACAAAUGGAGCACAAUUUUUCACUUCUCUGAUUGUACUCUUCUUGAUUUUAAUGAGUUGGCACUGAGCACCUAGAAACAACUCUUGCUUCUUUGAGGCCAUGCUGAGUGGAUCCCCCAACCUGUUUCUGCUCCUCAGGACCAGGUCCUCACCCCUCCCCUGCAUCACAUCCUGAAAUACAAAUGGACACUGGAAAGGACACAUUGAAAAACUGGAAUACAGAUCACCUUUUGUACACUAUUUGCUUGCUUGGUGGGCUACUUUGAAAUCAGCUUUAAUGCUUUACAGAAUACAGAAUAUGCAAGUCCUCUGAUCUAUAAACCAUAAGUUUUUAGAAAAAUUUUAAAACCCCUUUUCAUAAAGGUUUAUUUAUUUUUUGGUACUGGGGAUCUAACCCAUUGAGCUACACCCCCAGCCCUGUUUAUUUUGAGACAGGGCCUCACUAAGUUGCUGAGGGUUUAGCUAAAUUGCUGAAGCGGGUCUUAACCUUGCGAUCCUCCUGUCUCAGCCUCCAGAGUUACUGGGAUUACAGGCAUGCACCCUAUGCCCAGCUUUUUCAUAUAUAAAGUUUCUGUAUGACUACAGUACUAAGUAAUAUAUUUCCACAUCUGUGAAGCAGAAUAAACUAGAAUUUUUUUUUUGAAAGAGAGAGAAUUUUAAUAUUUAUUUUUUUAGUUUUUGGUGGUCACAACAUCUUUGUUUGUAUGUGGUGCUGAGGAUCGAACCCGGGCCGCACGCAUGCCUGGCGAGCGUGCUACUGCUUGAGCCACAUCCCCAGCCCCAGAAUAAACUCGAAUUUAAAGGAAGAACCAUAAUAUUGUUUUUUCUAAGAAAUGUAAUAUUUGGGUUAAAACUAUUGAGAAACCAUUCUGGAUUCUGGUUACUGAGGAAUAACUGAUGUUAUCUUUCAUUAAGCCAAAUAUUGUCUGCAUUUUGUAAAAGCAUGUAAAAACCUAUUAUAUAAUUAUUCAGAGAUAGGCUACUGAGAGCACGUGAACUUCCCAGCAACUUGGCUAGGAUGAGUAAAUGGUCCUUCCCUAAAGCCAGAGUUUGGGACUAAAUGACUGUGUCUUUACAGCUUCCAGUGCAGCCAGGAAAGAUGGUGCCACAGAAGCCAAUUCAGUGGUGUCAGUUCUACUUUGUUUAGAAAGCUCAAAUUCAGUUCAUUCAACCCUGGCUCACAGAGCAUUAGUGUUUCCCCCUGUAACUGGGGGCCUUUGGGAAUGUGCACAUAGCAGAACACACCAGAGGGAGGUCUGAUCUCUGCCUAAGACUGAGCAAUUGAGCCCUAAGAGCAUGAAGAAUGAAAAGACAGUGGCAGCAACAAGUCCUUCAUCCAUGGAGAGGCCACACAGGGCAAGAUGCCUAGCUCUCAUGUCAGUGGAAGCUACUGUGUGUUGAAGCUUCCCACCCUUGUAACUGUUGCUACCCUCAGCCUGAAGAUCUGGUGGCACUUGUAGAUGUCAGUUUGCCUCUUAAUAACAAGGCCAAGGAGGGACCAGGAAGUCUGGAAACCCUGAGCUUACAUUCCCUUUCUUCUUUUCAAAUGUAGAUGUCUGACUCCACCCUUCAUGCAUUCACAUUUUCUUCCUCUAUGUUGGGAGAAGAAGUUCAGCUGUAUUUCAUCAUCCCCAAAUCCAAAGAGAGUCAUUUUGUCUUCAGCAAGCAGGGCAAACACCUGGAGAGCAUGCGGCUGCCUCUGGUUUCAGACAAGGUGGGUGAGAGGUCUAGAUGGUUGCCAGACACCCGGCACUAGAUCAGGUUCUCCAAGCUGCUCACAUCUGAGGGUUUUACUUUCCCUUUUUGGUCUUACUUUUUGGUUUUACUUUUCCUUUUCAGCAGAAUUUGAAUGCAGUCAAGAGCCCUAUUUUCACUCCUUCCAGUGGUCGCCAUGAGCAUGGACUCCUAAACCUUUUCCACGCCAUGGAGGGCAUCAGCCACCUUCACCUUCUAGUGGUCAAAGAAUAUGAGAUGCCGCUGUACCGCAAGUACUGGCCCAACCACAUCAUGCUGGUGCUUCCUGGCAUGUUCAACAAUGCAGGCGUGGGUAAGGGGCCCCCUGGGAUGGGGAGAAGGGCUAAGCAAACUGAGCUCCAUUCCCCUGCCAUAAAACUUCCAAAGGUUUCUCUGCCUCUGGACGGUGUCCUGCUCUCCUGGCCAGAAGUCUUUUGACGCUUUGCAUUUCUCUAUGCCCCUUACUACCUUUUCUGUAGUUUUGCAGAAAUUUUAACUUCCAAGGACUAGUAACUAAGGAAGUCACUGUAAUAUUGAGCACCCUGGGAAGGGUUUAAGAUUCUUCCCAGGAACUUGGUCCUUUGAGGCCAGAAUGUAACCCUGAAAAGAAAGAUGAUUUGAGGGGAGGUAGUGUUUCACCUGUUCUUAAGAGUCCCUGACUCACUGUCCUCCUAGGAGCACAUACCAAGUGCUAGCAGACGGCAACCCGUCCAGGGAAUUGGAAGAAUCAUUCCUGCUUGGAAGGAGUCUUUUCUGCUUUUCCCCAGGGAGUUUAGAAAUAAUGAAUUCAUUUCUCAAAGGGGCAAUGGUUGCAGAAUAUAAAGCAGAGCUGUGGGGAGGUAAUGGAGAUACCAAGAACACUUCAUUU
This 27488-nucleotide long non-coding RNA is filed under the name Marmota monax (woodchuck). The stretch from base 3920 to 3988 matches the Rfam family "tRNA". The record is from RNAcentral. Lineage: Eukaryota; Metazoa; Chordata; Mammalia; Rodentia; Sciuridae.